GAAAUUUUGCUUCUGCUUAGAUGUAGGAGUGUAGAGAGGUGCUUGAGAAUUAGCCAUCCAUGUUGUCAUUAAAUUCCUCUUCUCCUGGGGAAGCUGCAGAAGAGGUGAGGGGGUGGCAUGUGUACGUGUCGGGCUCUACAUAAUAACCCGUGAUCAGGAUCCCAGUGACGUGCUGCACAGACAAUUGAAGAAGCUCGUAGAUCUGUCUUUCCAAGAUUUGGACAAAGUAGAUAAAUAAGGGGACACCCGGACUUCGUGCUUGAGAAUUUACUGCAUCAGCGGUACCAACGCUCAGGGAAGACCAGUGACUGCAAGUUCAAGAAUGCUGAAUUUUCCAAGAUGUUAAUUUGUGGCGUACAGAUGAUGUGAUUUACUGACGGUGACACACUGAAUGUGCAGUAGAGCCAGAAAAUGGUUCCAAGACUCUGAUGAGGACAUGAGCAAGCUGUCUCAACAGAGAAAUAUUUGCACCAAAAAUAGAGCUCAGCCAAACAUUAUUUUGGUGUGGGUGGGAAAGUGUGUUUCAUUGCAUUUGUCAUUUAUGGAGAAAACUGUAACAAAAAGCAACCCAAAUCAUUAUUUUAAUGUCAAAUUUUAAUUUUGAAUUUUGAGAAUGCUUGUGUUAAUAAUUUCCCAUUUAUCCAAGUGAUUUUCACCUGUGAUUGUGUUGGAAUUAAUUUUACUUUGGAAA
This is a long non-coding RNA of Oxyura jamaicensis (ruddy duck), 691 nucleotides long. RefSeq lists it as uncharacterized. The transcript has 4 exons. Lineage: Eukaryota; Metazoa; Chordata; Aves; Anseriformes; Anatidae. The record is from RefSeq and is a predicted model, not a curated record.